CUGCCUUUCAACAAAUCCUUAGCAAUCAUGUGCAUGCUAAGGCUUCAGAAGCACUGUACUACACUGUGAUGUGAUCAAUUAACUUUUAAGAUGCUCUUUAAAUCAUUUCACAGAUAUAUUUCCUAAAAGUAACUCAUAACCUGAACAUUCAAUCACAUGCACCUCAGGAAACCCCACUGUUUUCAGUAGUGCUUCUCAAAUUAUUCACCAGAUGUUGGACUUCCUUGUCCAAAUGCAGAUUCCCGCUUCACACUUCAUACCUGUGAAGUCAUGUAUAUAUACAUUUUAGGGUUGCAUCUGUAGCAUAUGGAAGUUCCCAGACUAGGGGUUGAAUGGGUUUGAAUUGGAGCUGCAGCUGCUGGCCUAGCCACAGCCACAGCAAUACCAGAUUCAAGCUGUUUGUGACCUACACCAAAGCUCAUGGCAAUGGUGAAUCCUUAUUUAACCCACCAAAUGGGGCCAGGGAUUGAACCCAUGUCCUCAUCUUGAUGUUCUUAUAUUUAAUAUGGAAUUUUUGCCUAUUCGUUCAUUUUAAAUGCAUUUGCUUAUUUAAUCUUUUUUGAGUGUCCACCAUCUGCAAGACUCUACCUAUACGCUUGGAAAUUUAUGAUUAAAUAAGACACUGACUUUUGUCUGAAAUACUCAGUCUGGGGCGUUCCCUGGUGGCCUAGCAGGUUAAGCAUCCAGUGUUUUCACCACUGUGGCACAGAUUCAGUUUGUAACCCAGAAACCUUUGUAUGCCAUGAGCACAGUUAAAAAAAUUGAAAAAUAAAAAAUAGUCUGGUUGACAGCACGUAGACUAUCAUUCAAUUUGAUGAGGACCACUUUACAUAAUGUACAGUAGUUUAAGAGCCAAGAAGAGGGCUCCUCAGUUAUUACUGUGAAUGGAGCCUUUUAGGGAAGAAGAAGACCAGAUUACUUUUUGAAGAUAUGUACAAGGUGGUUAGAUCAGCAUCGUUUUAAUAAGUUCUUCCAGAUUAUGUGUUUCCUAGGCACAGUUUUUUAUUGAUUCAUUGAUCAGGUCAUAGGAAUAUAACUAUGGAAAGUAAUAACCAAAUAAUUAUUUUCAAUUCUUAAGCAUAUGUGUUUUCCCUGUCUUCUCAGACAACUGUGCAGUCCUUAAGCCAAUAGGUUCUCUAUUUCCCUUGUAGGUUCCCAGUGGCAUUUAGACAAAGUAUAUAAAUGCACAUAUUGUGCAACUAACUCAAGAACAUGUUCCUAUAAUACACAAUAGAGCAAUUUCCUCUUAAUGGAGAAGAAGAUAUUGAUUUGACCUGAUUAUUUUUUUUCUCUGGGGGGUGGCUGUAGAGUGGGGAUAAGUGUUGUCUGCCCAUAAUUAUCCACUGAGUACAUCAAAAAAGAACUUUAAAUUGAUGAACUUUAAAUUACACUGGACUUUGAAUGAUGGCAGUGCCAUCGUUACCUAGAAAAGGUCACAUAUGUGGAAAUUGUCAGAAAUCGGAAGCCGAACACCCAGAGACACUAUGGGGCGUUUUUUCAAGUCUCAUUUGUGCAUGAGUCUCUGGGGAGGAAGAACACUUCUGAUGAAUGGAUCAAAGAGAUGAACCUGGUCUAGGAAACCUUAGAGGGAAUCUUGGCUUAAAACGUUUUAAGAAAGAGUGGGGUUUAAUUUCUUAAGUUUACUAAUCUUUCUGCUUAUUCACAUGGUGGACAAUAAUUUGUGGACUGUCUACAUUUUGUCAUUUGUUGUUUCUGCUGAAACCUGGUGUGACCUCACCAUUGCCUAAAGCGUUACAACACUAAGGGCCUUUCCUACAGGAAAAUAUUUUACACAGUACUAACUAUAUAGUUAACCAAAUGUGUUGCUAUGUAAAAGAAAACUAUACAAGAGCCAUACAAAAAAAUAGGCACUGUAUGGAGAUGCCAUUGUCUAAUGUCCCAGAUUCAUCUCGUUUGGUUCUAGAUCAGGUGGAACUGACUUAUUCAACAAAUAUAAUCAGUGCUAUGCCCGGAGUCCACAUAUUUCUUGGGGCCCAAGAAAAUGUUUUAAUUCCUUUUAAAAUCAGAAGGAAGAAAAAAACCCUGAACUUUUAGGUUAAAUAAAAUGUCUGAAUAUAUACUAUUAAUGCAUUGAUCUUCGUACCAAUACAGUUGUAGAAUGUAAUUUUCAUUUAUUUUAUUUUUAUUGUUUAUAAUGGAAGAACCAUGCAAGCAAUGGUACCUUAAACACAUAAAGGUCAUAAUACAGCUAUAGCAGCAGAAACAGGGGGCUUCCCCCUCCCCACCCACUAGGUGUCUGAGGAUCGCUUUCCUUGACUAAUGAACUUCCUUCUGAAGGAUUGUGUAUUACUUUCCCAGGGUUGCUGUGAUAUCAAAUAUAAUUAAAAACAAAAAACAGUAACAACAACAACAAUAACAAGUACCACAAACUGGCUCAAAAUGAUAGAGCUCUUGUUCUUCUUUCACAGGGCUAGGGGCUAGAAGUCCAAGAUCCAGGUGUUGGCAGAGUUGGGUCCUUCUAAAGGACAUUCUAUUCCAAGUCUCUCUUUGAGCUUCUGGUGACAGGCUUUGAUUCUUGGUUCCCUUGCUUUGCAGCUGCAUCCCUUCAGUCUUUUGUUGCUGCUAUUAUUACAUGCUAUUCUCCCUGUAUGGUUCCAUCAACAUUUCUCUUUUCUUAUAAGGACCAGUCAUAUUGGAUUAGGACACAUUGUAAUGACCUCAUCAUAGCUCUCCAUUCCAUCUGCAAAGAUUUAGUUACAAAUAAGGUCACACUCACAGACACUAGAGAUUACAACUUCAGCAUCCCUUUUUGUGUGCAUAAUUCAACCUAUAUAGAUUAUUUACAUAGGAUACUCAGAAGAGGACUAAACAGAAUGGAUGGUUCCCCUCCUGAGGGCAGAGAGGUGAGAUGCUGAUUAGUCAUCUCAUCGUAGGUGGUGUUGAUGACAGAGGCCCAGCCUCUUAUCUCCUGUCGCUCUGUGAUCCUCUAGUAACUAGACAACAAACCAGGCCUUUAUUGCAGGGCAACAGGCCUACUCCCUUGCUGGACAAUUUGUUAAAAUCGCUGAUGAUGUCUCUCCUCCAGUCUCUUUUUCAUUCUGGGGAAAUCUUAUCACCGCUUCUUAUUUCUUUCAGAGGUGGUGUCUCCUGAUAUCCUCCUUUUGUCUUAUUUAUAAGACCUAUUUAACUGAAAAUCUGAAACUUUAAUCAUGGAAAAACUAGUUUCCUCUUAUCUACGUCAGAAAAGGUUUAAUGUUUAAACCAUCUCUGGGGGGAGAGGUGAUAGAAACCUUUGUCUUUUACGGCAAAGGAAGAAAACAAACCCAAACCUGCCAAACCAAACAUAAUCACUCUGGUUCCAAAGUAGAGCGAACUGGUCACUUAUACCCUGACAUGGGUGCCAUGCCACAGAGGAGAGAAGAAUUCAUUUUUCUUUGAGGGAAAAUUGUGAGCAUAGUAGCCUUGUAGAGGAGAUAGUACUGGAAGUAGGAAGACAAAUUGAUGACUGCUGGACACAGACAGAGAAUUUUUUGGAUCAGGGAGGUGGGAAGAGGAUUCCAGGCACAGCUCCCAGCAUGAAUAGAGAACCCAGAGUCACAGCAGAUGACAUGUUCACAAAAUGACAGCCCAGUGUGAAUACAGGACUUCUGGAUACAGGACUGGAGUUGUGGAGUGGCAGAGUGCAAGUUGAGCCUAGAAAGGACUAUUUAUUAGACAUCAUUUUACCAUGAUUCUCUAUGGGAGAACUAUUGAAAUUUCUCCUAUUGGAAUUACUUCUACUCCAGGAAUCUAAGCACACAAAAGUGAUGCCAUAAUACAGAUGCCCCUGGGUGGGAGAAGGAUGCUAGUUUUCUAAGGCUGCUGGAACAAUAAUCAGGAACUUAGAGGCUUACGACAACACAAAGGUAUUAUCUUGCAAACUGAACGUCGGACGUUGAAAUGAAUCCCACUGGAUGAAAGCAAAGUGUUGAAAGGGCUGUCUUCCUUUCAAGAGGCUCUGUGGAAGAAUCUGUUUUCUUAGCUUUUCUGACUUCUGGAGGCAACCCUUAUUCCUGGGCUUAUGCCCCUCUUUCUAUCUUCAAGGCUAGCAAUGGCUGGUGAGUCUUUCUCAGACCAUAUCACUGAAACACUAUUUUUGCCUCCCUGUUUCAGUUAUGGGGCCCCUGUGAAUACCUUGGACUUACCAAGAUCAUCCAGGAUAAACCUCUCCUUCAAGGUCAGGUGAUUAGUAUUCUUAAUUUCAUCUAUAAUCUUUAUUUACCCUUGCCAUAUCCAUGGGGUCUAGGCCUUAGAGAAUUGGAAGAAGGGUGUUAUUCUGUUUUCCAUAAAGUUCCCUGUUUAUAUAGAGCUGUGGCAAAUGUUGAGAUGUAACUUUUCAUAUGCCAUUCCUGCAUCCCAAACUCCUCUCCAUCAUCUCUGUAAAAGCUGGGGUAUCAACUCCCUGAGUCAUGCCUGUGUGCACAUGAGUAUGUUUUAAGAACAGAAGUAAUGGGAUAGUCUUUUGCCAUUUUUUCUGUCUUCUGCUUCCCCGCCCCCCCCGGCCCCGUUUCUGGCCUUCUUGCACAUGUGUUUGCUCUGCCUACAUCUUAUUCUAACAUUGGCCUCCUAUGCUCUUUUAGAAGCCUUAUCACCCAAAAGUCUAGUUAGAGGGGAUUAGCCAGUAACCAUGACUAAGAGAAUGGCAUUUGCAGCAUCUUCAUUUAAAAGGCAAAUCCCUACUCUGCAUGGAGCUCUACCAUUUCUUUACAAAUGGUAGGAGUCUCCAGCACCAGAAUUAAUGCGCUGAUGUAUUUAAGCCCCUUAUAGCUCAUGACACCUACCUUGUAAAGCCUUAAAUGACUGAGAAGAUGCUGUUAGGUGACUGCCUGUGAUUCUUUAUCAUCCCCCUACUCCCUGACAAUGACUAAAUUGCAUUUUUUCAGGGCUAAUCACCCACUUUAUACUCUAAGCAAAAGUGGGUGGAGGAAGAGGAACUGGAUUAUGGAAGCAUCAUACCAGUCAUAUGAGAGAGCAUGAUGGGACCUGACAUAACCUCGUGAUUUGGGGAACAUGACUCAUGCAGCUUUGCUAUCUAAGACAAUCUGCAUUUUAUAGUAGGCAACAGUGAGAUUGUUACCUGUCAUAGCCACCUCCAAGUUGCCAGGCACCUUGUGGCCAGUAGAAGAAAUAAGCAUAGCAUGCAUAGUUUUAGCCUUUGCAUUUAAAGGAGGAUGGCUGAAUCCUGAAUAAAAUGCCUCUUUUAUAUCCCUGUCAUUUACUCCUGCUUAUAAGUGGUGCAGGGCAAGAGGAUUCGUGGCAUUGAAAGUUCAAGGACUUUUCUAAUCCUGGGAGUUUUCUCUGCUAUGUUUUUGAAAAAGGGAUUAAAUAUCCCUUUAAUAACACAGUUUGGAAUAUUUAUCACCAUGACAUCUCUCUAGAAGAGAAACAUCCUCCUGGCACUUAGGAGAGAAAAAUGUUCAUUUAUGACACUGCAUGCCCAGAAAUUAUGCCCAUGGAAGAAUAAUCACUGAUAAUAUGAACUUGAUUUUUCUCCAAUAAGUUCUUUCUUGCCCUCAUUCAGCUAAACACCUAAUGCAGUUGUUGCUAAUAAAGCACAACUGUUGAGUCACUACUCCCUGCUCUAUUUCAGCAGAAAGUAUGAGAUCUCACUAUAACGUAUCUCCAGUGAAUUACAAAGCUGCCCAAGUUCAUGUGUUUGACCCCAGUCUACCUUUCCCUGCUUGAUUUACUCUGCUCCAUUACCAAACUUCUGGUUCUGGCCAGGCUUCUCUCUCCAGUGCCCUCCCCACUAUGCUUUGCCACUAGAGAACACACAACCUUCCAGGGACAGCAGGAAUGCCACCUCUUACAUGAAGCCAUCACUAAUCCCCAUCAUCUAUCUCCGGCUGAGCCUUGAAAUUGCACAGAACUCAUUCUCUUUUCUCAGAUACCUAUACCCUGCUUUUAAUCUCUUUUGUAUUACCAGUUGAUACUUGGGACCACAAACUGGUGGUGGUUCACAGUGUUACCCUAUUCUCAAGACAUUUUAAGGCAUUGUAGUCAGUAUCUCAGAAUUAGAAUAUCUUAAAAAUUUUGAUCCUUGAACCCUUUAAAUGUGACAACAGCUGGUAACCUUGGGCCAACAUUUAAAAUGACAGCAAUUAAUGAGAACUGAGUGGCAACCAUCAUCUGUACCUGUGAAUAUAUUCUUGAGUUUGCUAAAGAUCACACUCCUCCCUUUUAAUUUCAUCCAGCCAGCUGUACUCAUUAUGUUCUUUCAUAAUGAUCACUCCUAGAACUUUGCACUAAUACACAAAUUGGCCUUUUCCCUUCCCUUUUGUUUUUCUUUUAUUUAUUAUUACUCUGAUUCUCUACUGUUUGCUUCCCACAUAGAUGCUGAAAUAAUCUUUUUU
This 6353-nucleotide long non-coding RNA is filed under the name Sus scrofa (pig). RNAcentral's name for it is "lncRNA (ENSSSCG00060039624.1)". The record is from RNAcentral. Lineage: Eukaryota; Metazoa; Chordata; Mammalia; Artiodactyla; Suidae.